Molecule: ribosomal RNA, 492 nt
Filed under: uncultured bacterium
Lineage: Bacteria
Description: partial 16S ribosomal RNA
Rfam family: Bacterial small subunit ribosomal RNA
Source: RNAcentral
AGUGAACGCUGGCGGCAGGCCUAACACAUGCAAGUCGAACGGCAGCACAGUAAGAGCUUGCUCUUACGGGUGGCGAGUGGCGGACGGGUGAGGAAUACAUCGGAAUCUACUUUUUAGUGGGGGAUAACGUAGGGAAACUUACGCUAAUACCGCAUACGACCUACGGGUGAAAGCAGGGGAUCUUCGGACCUUGCGCGAUUGAAUGAGCCGAUGUCGGAUUUGUUAGUUGGCGGGGUAAAGGCCCACCAAGGCGACGAUCCGUAGCUGGUCUGAGAGGAUGAUCAGCCACACUGGAACUGAGACACGGUCCAGACUCCUACGGGAGGCAGCAGUGGGGAAUAUUGGACAAUGGGCGCAAGCCUGAUCCAGCCAUACCGCGUGGGUGAAGAAGGCCUUCGGGUUGUAAAGCCCUUUUGUUGGGAAGGAAAAGCAGCAGGUUAAUACCCCGCUGUUCUGACGGUACCCAAAGAAUAAGCACCGGCUAACUUCGUG